RNAcentral lists this ribosomal RNA (946 nucleotides) under uncultured Neocallimastigales. Its description in RNAcentral is "partial large subunit ribosomal RNA". It matches the Rfam family "Eukaryotic large subunit ribosomal RNA", at positions 23 to 646 of the family's 3401-position model. The record is from RNAcentral. Lineage: Eukaryota; Fungi; Neocallimastigomycota; Neocallimastigomycetes; Neocallimastigales.
AUAGAGACUCAGAGCUGCAUAUCAAUAAGCGGAGGAAAAGAAACUAACUAGGAUUCCCCUCAGUAACGGCGAGUGAAGCGGGAAGAGCUCAAAUUUGAAAUCUUCAAGGUUUUACCUUGAUGAAUUGUAGUUUAAAGAAGUGUUUUCUGCUGAAGUUUCGGUAAAAGUUCUUUGGAAUAGGACAUCAUAGAGGGUGAGAAUCCCGUAUUUGAUCCAUUACUUUCCAGCUGUGUGAUAGCACUUUCAAAGAGUCGGAUUGUUUGGGAAUGCAGUCCAGAAUGGGUGGUGAAUUUCAUCUAAAGCUAAAUAUUGGCGAGAGACCGAUAGCGAACAAGUACCGUGAGGGAAAGAUGAAAAGAACUUUGAAAAGAGAGUUAAACAGUACGUGAAAUUGUCAAAAGGGAAGCGUUUGACACCAGUGUUGUUUUUCUGAAAAUCAAUUAAAGAACUGUUUAUGCUAAGUUGUUUAGACUUUAUCAGCUAACUGUUUAGUUUUGAGCUUUUCUUUAAUGCACUUUUCAGUUAACAAGUCAACAUCAAUUUCUUUUGCUGUAAAAAAGCUUGAGGAAGGUGGCUUGAGAUUCGUCUUAAGUGUUUAUAGCCUCUUGCCUAUGCAGUCGGAGAGAUUGAGGUCUGCAGCGCAGAUCCUUCGGGGCUAAAUGCAUUUGUGCUAAGUUAUAGCAUUUUAUAGACAACUUGUUGACUAUGAUUUGUCUCGUAGCUUACUCGCUUAUGUUAUUUUACCUACGCUUAGGAUGUUGACACACGCGCGUGCUCGAGUCUAUACAUGACUCUGCGCAUAUCAAUAAGCGGAGGAAAAGAGGGCUAUUACCUACGCUUAGGAUGUUGACACACGCGCGUGCUCGACUCUAUACAUGACUCUGUGCAUAUCAAUAAGCGGAGGAAAAGUACCUACGCUUAGGAUGUUGACGCAUGAGAUAUACGC